Molecule: ribosomal RNA, 252 nt
Filed under: uncultured bacterium
Lineage: Bacteria
Description: partial 16S ribosomal RNA
Rfam family: Bacterial small subunit ribosomal RNA
Source: RNAcentral
UACGUAGGGGGCAAGCGUUGUCCGGAUUUAUUGGGCGUAAAGAGCGUGUAGGCGGCUUGGUAGGUCUCGCGUCAAAACCUGAGGCUCAACCUCAGUUCGCGUGGGAAACCACCUAGCUAGAGUCCGGAAGAGGAGAACGGAAUUCCCAGUGUAGCGGUGAAAUGCGCAGAUAUCAGGAGGAACACCGGUGGCGAGGGCGGUUCUCUGGGCAUGAUCUGACGCUGAGGAGCGGAAGUGUGGGGAGCGAACAGG